GUGGAAUGGCGACAGUACGAGAUGAAUGCAAACCACGCAACGCAACUACUUGUAUAUAAGCACUUCCACGCUUAGGCUUGUUGAGAUCGGGGCGCACUAGCAGAAAGAAGAAUUUGUUGAGCUGUUCGUCUCUGUACCGUUCAGUAUCCCUCUUUCCUACCUUUCGGGUACCCGUGUGCUUAUUAAGCUUUAGAUCGGCUUGAGCUGCUGAUUCUAGUUUGAGGGGUCGACCAAUGCGUUCCAAUGAUGGUAUUAUAGCUUGGAGGCAGUUAAAACUGGUAGGAGGGGGAGAAAAAUCCCGGCCGCAUGAGUUCAUCGUUCACCGACCGACACCACCAAAUCCAAUGAAAUGAGAGAUCUGCACAAAUCUCUAAUAAUAAUAAAUGCAAGUAGAUAGAUUUUGUUAUUCUUAAUAAAACAAUGAUGCUGAUUGCUGAUAUUAAACACUUGAGUGAUCAGAUCGGGUAAUGAAUGAGUAGUUUCUAUUUAUUUAGAAUGGAUGGGCACUUUUUUUCUGUAUUUAAGUAAGAAGUAAGAAGAAUCUUCGUCGGGUACGGAGCAAUGAGCAUCUUCCGUUAACAUAUGUAAUAUGUAGAUGAUGAGAAUACUUGGCAUAUAUGUAUUUGACAGUAUUUGUACGACAAAUUUCAAGUCUGUGAAAUUAGAAAAUUUCCAGAAAAAUUAGAGAUGGAUUACGUUCGUUUAUGGCUGGACAACAAUCUUUUAUAUUGAAGGGUACUAUUGGUGUCUCGGUUUGCGGUUUGCUUACAAUUUAGGCUGAGACCUGACAAGCAACGUCAAGUCGGUUCCUUUCUGGUUUAAGGGUCGCGUCCUUUUGUUGUAUUGUUUUUGACACAUCACAACUAUGUAUCACACGCUGUUAAACAAAUCUGUUUAUAUAACUUCAAACUGUUUGGAGAUCAAUUGAUAAACAAUACAUAUCGUCGGUACACGUACCUUAAUGAUAUAAUAAAUAAAUAUAUACGAGGGCUUAAAAGAUUUUCAUUGCAAACAUGUAUAUAACGUAGAAAGUGAGAUUUAUUUAUAUAAAACUACACCAAUCAUAAUACAGUGAGGUUAAUAAUUAAAAGUAUUAAAUUAAAAAUUGGUCGAGCAGGGCCACAUUAACUAACGAAAGCAAGGUGGUUACAAUGUUAAUAUGAAAAG
Molecule: long non-coding RNA, 1167 nt
Organism: Folsomia candida
Lineage: Eukaryota; Metazoa; Arthropoda; Collembola; Entomobryomorpha; Isotomidae
Exons: 2
Source: RefSeq, a predicted model, not a curated record